GACGAACGCUGGCGGCGUGCUUAACACAUGCAAGUCGAACGGAAAGGCCCUGCUUUUGUGGGGUGCUCGAGUGGCGAACGGGUGUGUAACACGUGAGUAACCUGCCCUUGACUUUGGGAUAUCUUCAGGAAACUGGGGCUAAUACCGGAUAUGAGCUCCUGCUGCAUGGUGGGGGUUGGAAAGUUUCGGCGGUUGGGGAUGGACUCGCGGCUUAUCAGCUUGUUGGUGGGGUAGUGGCUUACCAAGGCUUUGACGGGUAGCCGGCCUGAGAGGGUGACCGGCGACAUUGGGACUGAGAUACGGCGCAGACGGCUACGGGAGGCAGCAGUGGGGAAUAUUGCACAAUGGGCGGGAGCCUGAGGCAGCGACGCCGCGUGCGGGAUGACGGGCUUCGAGUUGUAAACAGCUGUCGCAUGUGACGAAGCGUGAGUGACGGUAAUGGAUAAGAAAGCACCGGCUAACUACGUG
This 468-nucleotide ribosomal RNA is filed under the name uncultured bacterium. Its description in RNAcentral is "partial 16S ribosomal RNA". It matches the Rfam family "Bacterial small subunit ribosomal RNA", at positions 28 to 507 of the family's 1533-position model. The record is from RNAcentral.